Rana temporaria (common frog) is the source of this 1345-nucleotide long non-coding RNA. RefSeq lists it as uncharacterized. NCBI's taxonomy places the organism in Eukaryota, Metazoa, Chordata, Amphibia, Anura, Ranidae. The record is from RefSeq and is a predicted model, not a curated record. The transcript has 7 exons.
AGUGGUGCUUUAACUUGGAGGAGGAGAGCGGCCACAUGACCAUCCAUGAGGAGAGUAGCCAUGUGGCCGGGUCCAUGCAAGAACGAAGCUGUGAGGUACACUGGCAUCAGUCGCCACCAUGCCUCGACCUUCACGACGUCGGUUCUGUGGAAGGCGAUCACGCCAGGAGGGCAGAGAGGGUCUGAUCGCCCAGAGGACAGCUUCAGAGGAGAUGGGAGGAGGCAGCAAACAACAGGAGCUGUUCUCCCUAGGACCGGCAUGCUCAACACCACCCAGCGCCACCACAGGGACCACUGGCAAUGUGAGUAUGUUGGUGAGUAUGCUGCAGAGGAUUCCAGAACACUACCCUGUAAUCAUAGUGUGCAUUUUGCUUGCAUCCACAGAUGGCUACAACGGAACCCAACUUGUCUCUUGUGCCGGGCGUUCAUUCCACAAGAAGACAUUGUGUGCAUCCCUCUUAACCUAGGGCUGGAUGAAAAUGGAAACCCCCAUGUGAUUUUCGUUAGUCAAUGCUUAGAAAAAAAAUAUACACCAGACAAUUACCACCGAAAAGGAGUCGCUUCAUCCUGAUGCAGCCUCUAACUCUCAGUUGAGCAGCACUCCAGACAAUUACUACCGAAAAGGAGUCGCUUCAUCCCGACGCAGCCUCUAACUCUCAGUUGAGCACUCCAGACAAUUACUACAGAAAAGGAGGCCCAUCAUCCUGAUGAAGGUACAUCAGCAUCAGUCACCACCACCACCAUGCCUCGCCAUUCACGACGUUGGUCCUGUGGAAGGUGAUCACGGCAGGAGGGCAGAGAGGGUUCGAGCGCCCACAGGACAAGAGGACCACUUCGGAGGAGACAGGAGGCAGCAAACAGUAGCUGUUCUUCCUAGGACCGGCAUGCUCAACACCACCCAGGGCCACCACAGGGACCACCGGCAAUUAGUCAAUGCUUAGAAAAAAAUAUAUACUCCAGACAAUUCCCACCGAAAAAGAGUCGCUUCAUCCCGACGCAGCCUCUUUCAGGUGAGCACUCCAGAAAAUGACCACAGAAAAGGAGGCCUAUCAUCCUGAUGAAGGUGAGGACUACAGAAAAGGAGGCCCAUCAUCCUGAUGAAGCCCACAGCUCAAAACCCACAACUCCAGACAAUUACCACAGAAAAGGAGACCCAUCAUCCUGAUGAAGACUUUGUCUUUCCUGGUGAUCUUGUGAGCAAGUCUGUUUUUCAAAAGAACAAGCUCUCCAGAAGAAUGUUUUCCUUACAGGGAUGAGACAAACCAUAUACCACUGGCGGGUGCUUACGAUGAUCAGCUAUUAUUUAUUUAUAUAAAACCUUUAUCUCAAAAUAAAAUAAAAACUGU